This 1056-nucleotide ribosomal RNA is filed under the name uncultured bacterium. Its description in RNAcentral is "bacterial SSU rRNA". It matches the Rfam family "Bacterial small subunit ribosomal RNA", at positions 1 to 1035 of the family's 1533-position model. The record is from RNAcentral.
UUAGAGUUUGAUCCUGGCUCAGGACGAACGCUGGCGGCGUGCCUAGUACAUGCAAGUCGAACGAGGCUUUUUGAUUGAUGCUUGCAUCAGCUAAAAAGCCGAGUGGCGAAUGGGUGAGUAACACGUGGGUAACCUGCCUUGAAGCGGGGGAUAACAUUUGGAAACAGAUGCUAAUACCGCAUAACCACAAAAACCUCCUGGUUUUUGUGUCAAAGAUGGUUCUGCUAUCACUUCAAGAUGGACCCGCGGCGUAUUAGCUUGUUGGUGAGGUAACGGCUCACCAAGGCAAUGAUACGUAGCCGAACUGAGAGGUUGAUCGGCCACAUUGGGACUGAGACACGGCCCAAACUCCUACGGGAGGCAGCAGUAGGGAAUCUUCCACAAUGGACGCAAGUCUGAUGGAGCAACGCCGCGUGAGUGAAGAAGGUCUUCGGAUCGUAAAACUCUGUUGUCAGAGAAGAACGUGCGUGAGAGCAACUGUUCAUGCAGUGACGGUAUCUGACCAGGAAGUCACGGCUAACUACGUGCCAGCAGCCGCGGUAAUACGUAGGUGGCAAGCGUUGUCCGGAUUUAUUGGGCGUAAAGGGAACGCAGGCGGUCUUUUAAGUCUGAUGUGAAAGCCUUCGGCUUAACCGAAGUCGUGCAUUGGAAACUGGGGGACUUGAGUGCAGAAGAGGAGAGUGGAACUCCAUGUGUAGCGGUGAAAUGCGUAGAUAUAUGGAAGAACACCAGUGGCGAAAGCGGCUCUCUGGUCUGUAACUGACGCUGAGGUUCGAAAGCGUGGGUAGCAAACAGGAUUAGAUACCCUGGUAGUCCACGCCGUAAACGAUGAAUGCUAAGUGUUGGAGGGUUUCCGCCCUUCAGUGCCGCAGCUAACGCAUUAAGCAUUCCGCCUGGGGAGUACGAUCGCAAGAUUGAACUCAAAAGGAAUUGACGGGGGCCCGCACAAGCGGUAGAGCAUGUGGUUUAAUUCGAAGCAACGCGUAGAACCUUACCAGGUCUUGACAUCUUUUGCCAGGCUGAGAGAUCAGCUGUUCCCUUCGGGGACAAAAUGAC